RNAcentral lists this ribosomal RNA (467 nucleotides) under uncultured bacterium. RNAcentral describes it as "partial 16S ribosomal RNA". It matches the Rfam family "Bacterial small subunit ribosomal RNA", at positions 28 to 507 of the family's 1533-position model. The record is from RNAcentral.
GACGAACGCUGGCGGCGUGCCUAACACAUGCCAGUCGAGCGAGGCCCCUCCUUCGGGGUGCUGCCCUAGCGGCGAACGGGUGGGUAACACGUGGGCAACCUGCCCUCAGCUCUGGGAUAACUCCAAUAAAUUGGUGCUAAUACCGGACGUGACCGCUGACCGCAUGGUCUGGUGGUGGAAAGAUUCAGCUGCUGAGGAUGGGCGCGCGGCCUAUCGGCUUGCUUGGGGGGUAAUGGCCCACCAAGGCGACGACGGGUAACCGGCCUGAGAGGGUGACAGGCCACACUGGGACUGAGGCACGGCACAGACUGCUACGCGAGGCAGCAGUGGGGAAUAUUGCGCAAUGGACGAAAGCAUGACGAAGCGACGCCGCGUGAGGGAUGACGGCCUUAGGGUUGUAAACCUAUUUCAGUAGGGACGAAGCGAAAGUGACGGUACCUAAAGAAGAAGCACCGGCCAACUACGUG